UACGUAGGGUGCGAGCGUUACUCGGAAUUACUGGGCGUAAAGCGUGCGCAGGCGGUUCGUCGUGUCCGAUGUGAAAGCCCCGGGCUCAACCUGGGAGUGGCAUUGGAAACUGGCGGACUCGAGUGUGGCAGAGGGGGGUGGAAUUCCGCGUGUAGCAGUGAAAUGCGUAGAUAUGUGGAGGAACACCGAUGGCGAAGGCAGCCCCCUGGGUCAAAACUGACGCUCAUGCACGAAAGCGUGGGGAGCAAACAGG
RNAcentral lists this ribosomal RNA (253 nucleotides) under uncultured bacterium. Its description in RNAcentral is "partial 16S ribosomal RNA". It matches the Rfam family "Bacterial small subunit ribosomal RNA", at positions 524 to 776 of the family's 1533-position model. The record is from RNAcentral.